Molecule: ribosomal RNA, 442 nt
Filed under: uncultured bacterium
Lineage: Bacteria
Description: partial 16S ribosomal RNA
Rfam family: Bacterial small subunit ribosomal RNA
Source: RNAcentral
CCUACGGGGUGCAGCAGUGGGGAAUAUUGGGCAAUGGGCGCAAGCCUGACCCAGCAACGCCGCGUGAAGGAAGAAGGCUUUCGGGUUGUAAACUUCUUUUAAGGGGGAAGAGCAGAAGACGGUACCCCUUGAAUAAGCCACGGCUAACUACGUGCCAGCAGCCGCGGUAAUACGUAGGUGGCAAGCGUUGUCCGGAUUUACUGGGUGUAAAGGGCGUGCAGCCGGGGAGACAAGUCAGAUGUGAAAUCCACGGGCUCAACCCGUGAACUGCAUUUGAAACUGUUUCCCUUGAGUGUCGGAGAGGUAAUCGGAAUUCCUUGUGUAGCGGUGAAAUGCGUAGAUAUAAGGAAGAACACCAGUGGCGAAGGCGGAUUACUGGACGAUAACUGACGGUGAGGCGCGAAAGCGUGGGGAGCAAACAGGAUUAGAUACCCCUGUAGUC